RNAcentral lists this ribosomal RNA (495 nucleotides) under uncultured bacterium. RNAcentral's name for it is "partial 16S ribosomal RNA". It matches the Rfam family "Bacterial small subunit ribosomal RNA", at positions 28 to 507 of the family's 1533-position model. The record is from RNAcentral.
GACGAACGCUGGCGGCGUGCCUAAUACAUGCAAGUAGAACGCUGAAGGAGGAGCUUGCUUCUUUGGAUGAGUUGCGAACGGGUGAGUAACGCGUAGGUAACCUGCCUGGUAGCGGGGGAUAACUAUUGGAAACGAUAGCUAAUACCGCAUAAGAGUAGAUGUCGCAUGACAAUUGCUUAAAAGGUGCAAUUGCAUCACUACCAGAUGGACCUGCGUUGUAUUAGCUAGUUGGUGAGGUAACGGCUCACCAAGGCAACGAUACAUAGCCGACCUGAGAGGGGGAUCGGCCACCCUGGGACUGAGACACGGCCCAGACUCCUACGGGAGGCAGCAGUAGGGAAUCUUCGGCAAUGGACGGAAGUCUGACCGAGCAACGCCGCGUGAGUGAAGAAGGUUUUCGGAUCGUAAAGCUCUGUUGUAAGAGAAGAACGAGUGUGAGAGUGGAAAGUUCACACUGUGACGGUAGCUUACCAGAAAGGGACGGCUAACUACGUG